CGGGGUACUCGAGUGGCGAACGGGUGAGUAACACGUGGGUGAUCUGCCCUGCACUUUGGGAUAAGCCUGGGAAACUGGGUCUAAUACCGAAUAUGACCACGCUCUUCAUGGGGUGUGGUGGAAAGCUUUUGCGGUGUGGGAUGGGCCCGCGGCCUAUCAGCUUGUUGGUGGGGUAAUGGCCUACCAAGGCGACGACGGGUAGCCGGCCUGAGAGGGUGACCGGCCACACUGGGACUGAGAUACGGCCCAGACUCCUACGGGAGGCAGCAGUGGGGAAUAUUGCACAAUGGGCGCAAGCCUGAUGCAGCGACGCCGCGUGAGGGAUGACGGCCUUCGGGUUGUAAACCUCUUUCACCAGGGACGAAGCGUAAGUGACGGUACCUGGAGAAGAAGCACCGGCCAACUACGUGCCAGCAGCCGCGGUAAUACGUAGGGUGCGAGCGUUGUCCGGAAUUACUGGGCGUAAAGAGCUCGUAGGUGGUUUGUCGCGUUGUUCGUGAAAACUCACAG
Molecule: ribosomal RNA, 510 nt
Filed under: earthworm cast bacterium C20M2
Lineage: Bacteria
Description: bacterial SSU rRNA
Rfam family: Bacterial small subunit ribosomal RNA
Source: RNAcentral